Molecule: ribosomal RNA, 560 nt
Filed under: uncultured Alphaproteobacteria bacterium
Lineage: Bacteria; Pseudomonadati; Pseudomonadota; Alphaproteobacteria
Description: bacterial SSU rRNA
Rfam family: Bacterial small subunit ribosomal RNA
Source: RNAcentral
CCUACGGGAGGCAGCAGUGGGGAAUCUUGCGCAAUGGGCGAAAGCCUGACGCAGCCAUGCCGCGUGAAUGAUGAAGGUCUUAGGAUUGUAAAAUUCUUUCACCGGGGACGAUAAUGACGGUACCCGGAGAAGAAGCCCCGGCUAACUUCGUGCCAGCAGCCGCGGUAAUACGAAGGGGGCUAGCGUUGCUCGGAAUUACUGGGCGUAAAGGGAGCGUAGGCGGAUAGUUCAGUCAGAGGUGAAAGCCCAGGGCUCAACCUUGGAACUGCCUUUGAUACUGGCUAUCUUGAGUUUGGGAGAGGUGUGUGGAACUCCGAGUGUAGAGGUGAAAUUCGUAGAUAUUCGGAAGAACACCAGUGGCGAAGGCGACACACUGGCCCAAUACUGACGCUGAGGCUCGAAAGCGUGGGGAGCAAACAGGAUUAGAUACCCUGGUAGUCCACGCUGUAAACGAUGAGUGCUAGUUGUCGGGAUGCAUGCAUGUCGGUGACGCAGCUAACGCAUUAAGCACUCCGCCUGGGGAGUACGGUCGCAAGAUUAAAACUCAAAGGAAUUGACGG